AGUGAACGCUGGCGGUAGGCCUAACACAUGCAAGUCGAACGGCAGCACAGUAAGAGCUGCCUCUUACGUGGCGCGUGGCGCGCGCGGGUGAGAAACACCUCAGAAUCCACUUUCUCGUGGGGGAAAACGUGGGGAAUCACACUCUUACCCCACAUGACACCUGGGUGUGAGAGCAGGAGAUCUUCAGCUCUUGCGAGUGUAUAUGCCGCGAUGUCGGAUUAGCUAGUUGGCGGGGUAAGGGCCCACCAAGGCGACGAUCCGUAGCUGGUCUGAGAGGAUGAUCAGCCACACUGGAACUGAGACACGGUCCAGACUCCUACGGGAGGCAGCAGUGGGGAAUAUUGGACAAUGGGCGCAAGCCUGAUCCAGCCAUACCGCGUGGGUGAAGAAGGCCUUCGGGUUGUAAAGCCCUUUUGUUGGGAAAGAAAAGCAGCAGGUUAAUACCCCGCGGUUCUGACGGUACCCAAAGAAUAAGCACCGGCUAACUUCGUG
RNAcentral lists this ribosomal RNA (492 nucleotides) under uncultured bacterium. RNAcentral describes it as "partial 16S ribosomal RNA". It matches the Rfam family "Bacterial small subunit ribosomal RNA", at positions 29 to 507 of the family's 1533-position model. The record is from RNAcentral.